This is a small nuclear RNA of Manis javanica (Malayan pangolin), 107 nucleotides long. Lineage: Eukaryota; Metazoa; Chordata; Mammalia; Pholidota; Manidae. The record is from RefSeq and is a predicted model, not a curated record.
GUGCUUGUUUUAGCAGUACAUAUACUAAAAUUGGAAUGAUACAGAGAAGAUUUGCAUGGCCCCUGUGCAAUGAUGACAUGCAAGUUCAUGAAGUGUUCCAUAUUUUU